GCGGAGGGAUCAUUACCGAGUUUACAACUCCCAAACCCCUGUGAACAUACCACUUGUCGCCUCGGCGGAUCAACCCGCUCCCGGUAAAACGGGACGGCCCGCCAGAGGACCCCUAAACUCUGUUUCUAUAUGUAACUUCUGAGUAAAACCAUAAACAAAUCAAAACUUUCAACAACGGGUCUCUUGGUUCUGGCAUCGAUGAAGAACGCAGCAAAAUGCGAUAAGUAAUGUGAAUUGCAGAAUUCAGUGAAUCAUCGAAUCUUUGAACGCACAUUGCGCCCGCCAGUAUUCUGGCGGGCAUGCCUGUUCGAGCGUCAUUUCAACCCUCAAGCACAGCUUGGUGUUGGGACUCGCGUUAAUUCGCGUUCCUCAAAUUGAUUGGCGGUCACGUCGAGCUUCCAUAGCGUAGUAGUAAAACCCUCGUUACUGGUAAUCGUCGCGGCCACGCCGUUAAACCCCAACUUCUGAAUGUUGACCUCGGAUCGGGUAGGAAUACCCGCUGAACUUAAGCAUAUCAAUAAGCGGAGGAA
This 530-nucleotide ribosomal RNA is filed under the name uncultured Fusarium. RNAcentral's name for it is "eukaryotic LSU rRNA". The stretch from base 164 to 317 matches the Rfam family "5.8S ribosomal RNA". Lineage: Eukaryota; Fungi; Ascomycota; Sordariomycetes; Hypocreales; Nectriaceae. The record is from RNAcentral.